This is a non-coding RNA of Misgurnus anguillicaudatus (oriental weatherfish), 938 nucleotides long. Lineage: Eukaryota; Metazoa; Chordata; Actinopteri; Cypriniformes; Cobitidae. The record is from RefSeq and is a predicted model, not a curated record.
AAAUAUUUUAAUGAUGUCUUGGUUUAACUUGAAUUUUGAACGCAUUGUUAACUUUUGUAAAUCUGCUUGAAUGUUAGGCUAGUGCAUCUGUCAAGUUUGCCUUAUAAAGUAAUGAUUGACAGAUUUUUUUAGAUCGCAUUUAUUUUCCAUAGCAUAGACAUGCUUUUUUAAGAAUAAAAUUGCUGUUUUGAGUGUGGUGGAUGAAAUAGUGGUAGCUGCUAACAAUUUUCAGGCUCAACCUGGCGGGAAUUUCUUUUAGCAGGGAAUGCUAAAUGAUAGAUGCUUGCAUGAGUUGAUUAAAACCCGCAUCAGCUAAUGUUAAUGAAAUAACAGAAAUAAGUAUACUAUGUUGAUGAUAUGCGACAGGAGAAGUAGUGAUUACUUAAUUUUGCUUAAUGCCUGACCGAAAUGAAUGGUAAGUUACAUUUAACUGAGGCAAAGUGUUUGCACCCAGAUAGCAAUUGCCAUCUUGUGCGUGCCUUAGCUAACAUUACAUGAAAAUGCAUACCAGGUGCAAUGCCAUUUUAUGUUCGCAUUAUAAAUAGAUUUAAGUGUAACAGAAGUUUUCUAUUUUCUUGUUCAAAAUACAUUUGACACUUGAAAACAUUUAUUCAUCAUGUUUCAUAUGUAUACAUUGCAGGUGUGCCAGGUGGGUCCAGAAUCUAAGGAAUGCAUCCCUUCAUGGCAUACCUUUGGAUCAGCUGCAUCGGACCUACAGGGUGUGCAGUGCCCAUUUCCACAGCAGCCAGUUCAAAAGACCAUCUGAUGUCCAUAGUGGGCUGAACUGGGAUGCUGUGCCCACAAGAAUACAGGCCCCUAACCCACAUCCCCCACUAGAUGUCGAGAGGAAGCGUAAACCUCCGAAGACACGCCAGGAGUUGCCACGUAAAAACGCAAGCAGAGUCAAGUUCCUCCUCCCUCCAAAGACCAGCAUACCG